Molecule: RNA transcript, 3729 nt
Organism: Ipomoea nil (Japanese morning glory)
Lineage: Eukaryota; Viridiplantae; Streptophyta; Magnoliopsida; Solanales; Convolvulaceae
Gene name: disease resistance protein RPP13-like
Exons: 3
Source: RefSeq, a predicted model, not a curated record
AGUUGCUUCCAACUCAGAUGCAAUAAUUCAUGAAGGUCACUAAAAUAAUUCUAUAUUUCCAAAAAAAAAAAAAAAAAUUGUGUUUAACCUAUACUCGUUGCAAAAAUUGUUCCCUCAUUUCUUCUCAUCUCCACAAUUUCAACUUUCUCUCCUCUUUGCAAAAUCCAUCUUAAUUACCUCUUCGCAACAUCACUGGCUAUGGCGGCUUUUGGUGCUGUAACCAUUUUAAUGGACACACUCCAUCAACAUUUCCUCCAACAUCACACACCCAUUUUCCCUCUUCGCAACAAAACAAAGCUCAGAUUACUUUACAAAAAUCUUUCUUCUUUGCAAACCUCUCUUCAACAAGAUUUCAAAGUGAGGGGCUGUGAUGAAGCAAUCAAAGCUUUGGAAGCACAAGUGAGAGAUGUCUCCAUUGAACUAAGGUUCCAAAUAGAAGACCAAUUGAGAUUGUUUUACCUGGGGAAAUCCAUGAAGCUUAGGCUUCACUCUGCUCAAAAGCUUCUCCCCAUAUUGAAUCGAGCAAUUAAAGGCGACUUAGAAACUAUGGAUUUCAAUUAUGUGAUGGAGAUCCUAGGGAAGCACUUUACACUGCCAGUAUCAGGCAUGCCGCCUCAUAUAAACAAAAGGGUCAAAUCCUUUUGCACGCAGCAUCAACUCUUUCUAUAUGGAAAAGAGAGUAAGGAUGAUGAGAAAGAUAGUGAUGAUGAUGAUGAACAAGAGAGCAAGAAUGAACAACAGAUUGAUGAUGGUGCUGAUGAUGAUAAUGAUGAUGAGCAAGAGGCAAAGAGAAGGAGGAAUAUGUUGUAUGAAGCAGAAAGUGUAAUCAUACAAGAACUGAGAGCUUCUUAUCUCAACAAAUACAUGAAACAACGGAUACAGGCUACACAAAGGAUUCGUCAACUCUUCAUCCAAGGAAUUAGCCUCACAUCUUACAUCAAGAAAGAGAUGUUGAAUGUUAAGAAUAAUGCAUACCACCAAUCCAACAACUCACAAAACAACAAUCCUGCUUCUCUUAGAGGGCUGGAACUCGAUAACAUUAUGGUUGGUGAUUCAAAGUCUGCAAUCAAAUUGGUGGGCUGCGAUGAUGAGUUCAACACCAUAAUGGACAACCUGAGCCAGCAAUCCUCAAAACGAGUAAUUGUCUCGAUUGUGGGAAUGGGUGGUAUUGGUAAAACCACCUUAGCUAGAAAGAUUUAUGAAGAUGCUUCAUUCAUUUCUUGGUUUGAUUGUCGAGCUUGGGUUACUAUCUCACAGGACUAUAAUCCAACACAAGUGUUCCAAUGCCUGCUUCGUUCUCUUGCCCCAGGGGCCAGUGACAACAAUAGAGCUAGCAACUACGAAUUGGCUGAGCAAGUAUACAGGCAUCUAAAACAUCGAAGAUAUUUGAUCGUAGUAGAUGAUAUUUGGAAUACAGAUGUCUGGGAUGAUUUAAUGAGAUGUUUUAAGGAUGACAAUAAUGGAAGUCGAAUAUUGUUGACCACUCGGCAAAAAAAUGUGGCUGAGUAUGCUGAUUCAGGUAAUAAUUUUUGCCAUACCUUACGUUUUUUGGAUUCAAAUGAAAGUUGGAAUCUUUUUCAGAGCAAAGUGUGUAAGAGAUCAAUAACUCUAUUGUCCCCUGAACUUGAAAAAAUUGGUAAAGAGAUAGUAGGCAAGUGCAAAGGAUUACCUCUUGCAAUUAUUGUGGUUGCUGGACUCCUCUCAAACUCCAACCAAACUAUUCAUGAAUGGGAGCAUAUUGCAAAAUGUGUCCCUGCUUUGAGUUUACAUCAUUCUAAUCAGCAGGGUGAGAACAUCAUUGAUUUGAGUUACACCUUCUUGCCUCAUCACCUUAAACUUUGUUUUUUGUCAUUUGGGUGUUUUCCAGAAGAUUAUGAGUUUUUUGAACAGAGGAUAGUUGAUUUUUGGGUUUCGGAGGGAUUUCUAAAGGUUUUGAGGUCUGAUGAGAGCUUGGAAGGUGUGGCAAGGAUGAACUUUCAUGAUCUUGUGGAUAGAAAUCUUCUAAUUUGUGUAGAUAGAAAUGAUGGAUUAUAUCAAAUGCAUGAUGUUUUGCGUGAAUUGGCUUUGAGAGAAGCCCAAAAAGAAACUCUUAGUUUCAAGAAGGGUUAUGAUAUAAUUAGUUUGAGGUGGAAGAGAAAUCAAUCAAUAAACUCUUCCCAUAUAUCCCAACCAUGGAGCAUCCAAUCAAGAAUUUGCAGUUACAACAGUAUUUCUUCACUGAUUGAUAGAAUUUCUUUUGGCAGGACUUCAAGACAGGUGGGGGUGUAUGCACAUUUUAAGUUUUUAAGGGCAUUGAAAGUAUCUAAGGAGAUAAAUGUCCAUAAUAUUUUUUUGGAGAUUGUGGGUCUAGUGCAUCUAAGAUACUUAUCUAUUCCUUGUGGGUUAAAUAUUCAGUAUUUGCCUUUGUUCAUGUUCCGAAAUCUACAGGAGCUACAAGUUGAUUAUUAUUCACCAUGUGAACCCCUUGAUAUUUGGGGAUUACCUCAAUUAAGGAAUCUCUAUGUUUAUAGUGCUAUUACACUAGUUCCUCCAAGAUCAGUUCAUCAUAAUUUGGCGAGCAUUAGAUGGUUGGAUUAUAGGAGUUGUACAAAGGAGUUGUUCCUGAGGACCCCAAAUCUAAGGACAUUGGAAGUUACUACAAAUCAUAAAAUUAAAUGCAAAGCUCCCAAUUGGUUUGAAAGUCUUGUCUAUUUAUAUAAAGUGGAAACACUAGUGGUUCAUUUUGUCGUACUUCCGGAGUUUAGAACUAUUUAUUCUAUGGGGAUGCUAAGCCUAGAUAAUUUUUUGUCAAAUCUUAAGAAGUUAAGAUUCUGUGGAACACAUUUAAAAUGGAAGGAUAUGGAUGUUGUUGGUGAGUUGUCUAAGCUUGAGGACCUCAAAUUGGACGAUGCUGUUAAUGAUCAAACAUGGAAACCCAAAGAUGGAGGAUUUCGUCGAUUAAAGUUCUUGGGGAUAGAUUGGAGUCCUCUACGAUAUUGGGAAGCCACUAGUAAUCAUUUUCCCGUCCUUGAAAAUCUAGUCCUUGGUCACGUAGUUUUGAAAGAAAUUCCUAGUGGUUUUGCAGAAAUAACUACUCUCAAAUCAAUCCAAUUAUAUGGUCGUUGUUUAGAGUCACUUAUAUCAUCUGCUAAGCGUAUUCAAAACGAGCAGCAAGAGUAUGGAAAUGACACAUUUGUUGUUGAUAUUUCUAGGCCCACUGGUUAUUUAAGGUGAGAGUUGGGUGGGCACUGGGCAGGCGGGUGGGGCUUUUGAUCUUGGAGUGCAUGCUUUGAAAGCUUGGGUUUGAGGAGGAUUGGGUGAGGUUGAUUACGGUGUUUUUAUCUUCAAUGGCAAGGGAAGUGAAGAAAAUGGAGAUUUUUGGAUGAUUUGCAGCACUAAUUAAGGAGUCCUUGAGAUGAUCGAGAGCAUCAUUGGAUAAUCAAGAACAAGGAUCGCGUUCAAGAGCCAAGACAAGUUAUGUCUCUAUCUGAUGACAUCACACGACGUCGACAUGCACCUGUAGGGACCCGUUCUUGGGCACAUACAUUGCACGGGGCGCGAGAAAGCCCGUACGUACACGGGCGCUCACACGCUCGUGCCAUUGCCUGUGCAACGCUCCCAAUCUUGUGUAUUAAAAUUUGGUGGGGGAGAGCAAAGAACUUUUUCCUAAUUUUUCAGAUAGCUUUCUUGCUUAGAUUAGAUUAUUUUUCUUCAAAAGAAUCCAUCUACUCAGCUUACAUACUUGGAUUA